GGGAUCUUAGCUCAGCUGGGAGAGCGUCUGCCUUACAAGCAGAAUGUCACAGGUUCGAGCCCUGUAGGUCCCA
Molecule: transfer RNA, 73 nt
Filed under: Clostridia bacterium
Lineage: Bacteria; Bacillati; Bacillota; Clostridia
Also listed under: 1 other name
Description: tRNA-Val
Rfam family: tRNA
About the family: Transfer RNA (tRNA) molecules are approximately 80 nucleotides in length.
Source: RNAcentral